Molecule: long non-coding RNA, 245 nt
Filed under: Capsella rubella
Lineage: Eukaryota; Viridiplantae; Streptophyta; Magnoliopsida; Brassicales; Brassicaceae
Description: long non-coding RNA (CRUB_LNC000529)
Source: RNAcentral
UUUGGGGUUAGUUAGAAUAUGUUAGAAUAAAAUAAAUAUGAUUAUUUAAAAGUGCUAGAGAUGCAUGAAAAGUGUUUAGAAGUGUGGAGAAAGACAUGUUGAAGUUGGGACCAAAAUAGGCUAAGAAUUCGGAAACAUUGUGUUGAAGCACCAAAUGACUUAUCUAGUAUUAUUUAGGGUUAGAAUAUGAUAGAACACAAUAAAUUUGAUUGAUUAGAAAUGUUAGAGAUGCAUGAAGAGUUUUU